Molecule: long non-coding RNA, 268 nt
Organism: Melitaea cinxia (Glanville fritillary)
Lineage: Eukaryota; Metazoa; Arthropoda; Insecta; Lepidoptera; Nymphalidae
Exons: 3
Source: RefSeq, a predicted model, not a curated record
ACCAAUCGCAGAUGUUCAUUGUCUAGGCCUUGCGUCUCUUUCUCGCGCGUGGCUCUCUUUUUCCCCGCGCGUGCCGCUGUCGAUUACUCGUGCGCUUCGUCGCGAGUCGGAGGCACGGUAGCGCGGAGCGAUAUCUAUAAAUAGAUCAUACGUUCCCGCGUCUCGCCCUUUUCGGCGGCGAUCGGCGCGGCGAACGGAUCUCUGACGUGUACUUCACUCGGCGGCGGCGUGAUUGUACUUCGUGAAGAUCUGCAUGAAGAGACAUGAA